RNAcentral lists this long non-coding RNA (322 nucleotides) under Phaseolus vulgaris (common bean). Its description in RNAcentral is "long non-coding RNA (PVUL_LNC001420)". The record is from RNAcentral. Lineage: Eukaryota; Viridiplantae; Streptophyta; Magnoliopsida; Fabales; Fabaceae.
GUGGCUCCAAGUCUUGAGGCGAGCAGAGAAAUUGCCGGCAUCGGAGAAAUCGGAGUCGCCGAACGCGUGUUGGAGAGUGAACUGGAUCUUGGAAUCGGAAGCAGACUCCGAAAACCUCUUCCGAGAGGUUGAGGUGGCGGCGGUGGAAGGUGGAGGCGAAUCGGAGUGGAAGGAGGAGGAGCGUCCACCUUCGAUGCCGAACUCUUCGUCGUCAAGGAGAAGCUCGUCGGAUUGAAAACCUAGAGCGCAAGCGAUCAACAGAGUCAGCACCAGAACCCACCGGAACAAUAACACACCCAUUCUCUCGCCGUCUACUUUCCCA